Non-coding RNA from Naganishia vaughanmartiniae, 91 nucleotides. The record is from the annotation of a GenBank genome assembly. Lineage: Eukaryota; Fungi; Basidiomycota; Tremellomycetes; Filobasidiales; Filobasidiaceae.
CCCCCGAUAGCUCAGUUGGAAGAGCGCGGCAUUGUAAUUGCUACACAACAAAAGACUGCCGCGGUCACCUGUUCAAUCCAGGUUCGGGGGA